RNAcentral lists this non-coding RNA (43 nucleotides) under unclassified sequences. Its description in RNAcentral is "L31-Actinobacteria ribosomal protein leader". It matches the Rfam family "L31-Actinobacteria ribosomal protein leader". The record is from RNAcentral.
UCGGCUCCGGUUCACGCUCGCAGCAGCGGGCGACCCGGCGGCU